Non-coding RNA from Arachis ipaensis, 1041 nucleotides. The record is from RefSeq and is a predicted model, not a curated record. NCBI's taxonomy places the organism in Eukaryota, Viridiplantae, Streptophyta, Magnoliopsida, Fabales, Fabaceae.
CUUCUACUGGUUUUUUGCCGUUUGAACUUGUAUAUGGUUUUAACCCUCUAAUUGUUUUGGAUUUAAUGCUUUUAGCUUUGAGUGAUCUUGUUAGUUUAGAUGGAGCAAGCAAGGCUGAGAAGAUUAAAACAAUACAUGAGUAUGCUUGUGACAUGAUUGAAAAGAAGAAUAAGGCCACGGCUGAAAGGGUUAAAAAGGGUCGAAAGCAUAUAGUCUUUGAACCAGAAGAUUGGAUUUGGGUUCAUUUGAGGAAUGAGAGGUUCCUACUGAAAGGAAGUCUAAACUUGAUGCUAGAGGAGGAGAUGGCCCAUUCCAAGUGCUUGAGAGAAUCAACGAUAAUGUCUAUAAAAUUGAUCUAUUAGAUGAGUAUAAUGUCUCCGCCACUUUCAAUGUUUCUGAUCUUUCUUCUUUUGAUAUGGAUACCUUGAAUCUUUUUGAGGAAGGAGGGAAUGAUACACACGCGGGAGGAAAAUCUGAGCAUCGUAAGGCGAAAGGGCACAAUGGAGAUUUCACACUUUCAAAAGGCUCCAUCACUAGGAUUGCAGGUGGGAGAUCACAGGCAACUUCCAAUUGCUUCCGGAGACAGGCACAAGCAAGGAAGCUAACUCAUGGAUCCCAACCGGCAUUAAGCAGUGGGAGCAGCCCCCUUUUAUAACUCCUAUCAGGUCAAUGAGUAGCGACCCUUUGUGCUUGCAAUUUUACAUUGAGCAUCCAAGUUUAUCAGAAUCACCAGUGCUUUGAGAAGGGAACUCGGAGCUGUAGUGCAUGUGCAUAUAUAUAUAUAACCAUGUUAUAGUAAGAAGCUUUAAUUAUGUUGCAAGUAACUAUAUAUAGUUUAAUGCAAUUUUCAAUUAGGUUUUUAUAGUUGAAAAGUUUUUAAUGAUAUUCUAUAAAAUUGAGUAACCAAGUCUUUUAAAAAAGCAUAGUGCCAAAAAAAAAAAAAAAAUUGGACAGAACAACUUACUCAAUUCAGCCAAAAGUUUGGUAGCCAUUUUUUUUCCCAAUCAACAUUUCAAAUCUAAAUUUAUUGGUUUUAUUGUC